AACUUGUCUCGCGGUGAUUUGAGGGAGCAGCUUGCGCCGCGUCAACAAACGCUAAAGCGCCACGGAGCGUAUUCG
RNAcentral lists this non-coding RNA (75 nucleotides) under Oceanibaculum indicum. Lineage: Bacteria; Pseudomonadati; Pseudomonadota; Alphaproteobacteria; Rhodospirillales; Oceanibaculaceae. The record is from RNAcentral. RNAcentral also lists the same sequence under 1 other name.